AGGUUAAUUUCCAGAGAAUAGAUUUUGUGGAGGAGAAAUACAUGGCAUAUAGUUCACAGUACAACGUUAUGUUUUACAUCUAAUAGCAACCACCAACAUAUGAUCUCCAUCUUCUACAUAUACAUUUUCGCUGCCAUUUUAACAAAUAAAUCUUCAAGUUGGAACUUAUUUACAAGAAAUGUUAUU
This 186-nucleotide small RNA is filed under the name Arabidopsis thaliana (thale cress). Its description in RNAcentral is "ATSL194710". Lineage: Eukaryota; Viridiplantae; Streptophyta; Magnoliopsida; Brassicales; Brassicaceae. The record is from RNAcentral.